Molecule: ribosomal RNA, 473 nt
Filed under: uncultured bacterium
Lineage: Bacteria
Description: bacterial SSU rRNA
Rfam family: Bacterial small subunit ribosomal RNA
Source: RNAcentral
GGCGGCAGGCUUAACACAUGCAAGUCGAGCGGUAGCAGAUCUAGCUUGCUAGAUGCUGACGAGCGGCGGACGGGUGAGUAACGCGUAGGAACCUGCCCAGUAGUGGGGGAUAGCCCGGGGAAACUCGGAUUAAUACCGCAUACGCUCUACGGAGGAAAGAGGGGCUUCGGCUCUCGCUAUUGGAUGGGCCUGCGUGAGAUUAGCUAGUUGGUGAGGUAAUGGCUCACCAAGGCGACGAUCUCUAGCUGGUCUGAGAGGAUGAUCAGCCACACUGGGACUGAGACACGGCCCAGACUCCUACGGGAGGCAGCAGUGGGGAAUAUUGCACAAUGGGCGCAGGCCUGAUGCAGCCAUGCCGCGUGUGUGAAAAAGGCUUUCGGGUUGUAAAGCACUCUCAGUGGGGAGGAAGGCCUCGUAGUUAAUAGCUGCGAGGAUUGACGUUACCCACAGAAGAAGCACCGGCUAACUCCGUG